AGCGUACACGGUGGAUGCCCUGGCAGUCAGAGGCGAUGAAGGACGUGCUAAUCUGCGAUAAGCGUCGGUGAGGUGAUAUGAACCGUUAUAACCGGCGAUUUCCGAAUGGGGAAACCCAGUGUGUUUCGACACACUAUCAUUAACUGAAUCCAUAGGUUAAUGAGGCGAACCGGGGGAACUGAAACAUCUAAGUACCCCGAGGAAAAGAAAUCAACCGAGAUUCCCCCAGUAGCGGCGAGCGAACGGGGAGGAGCCCAGAGCCUGAAUCAGUGUGUGUGUUAGUGGAAGCGUCUGGAAAGGCGUGCGAUACAGGGUGACAGCCCCGUACACAAAAAUGCACAUAUUGUGAGCUCGAUGAGUAGGGCGGGACACGUGGUAUCCUGUCUGAAUAUGGGGGGACCAUCCUCCAAGGCUAAAUACUCCUGACUGACCGAUAGUGAACCAGUACCGUGAGGGAAAGGCGAAAAGAACCCCGGCGAGGGGAGUGAAAAAGAACCUGAAACCGUGUACGUACAAGCAGUGGGAGCCUCUUAAUGGGGUGACUGCGUACCUUUUGUAUAAUGGGUCAGCGACUUAUAUUCUGUAGCAAGGUUAACCGAAUAGGGGAGCCGAAGGGAAACCGAGUCUUAACUGGGCGUUAAGUUGCAGGGUAUAGACCCGAAACCCGGUGAUCUAGCCAUGGGCAGGUUGAAGGUUGGGUAACACUAACUGGAGGACCGAACCGACUAAUGUUGAAAAAUUAGCGGAUGACUUGUGGCUGGGGGUGAAAGGCCAAUCAAACCGGGAGAUAGCUGGUUCUCCCCGAAAGCUAUUUAGGUAGCGCCUCGUGAAUUCAUCUCCGGGGGUAGAGCACUGUUUCGGCAAGGGGGUCAUCCCGACUUACCAACCCGAUGCAAACUGCGAAUACCGGAGAAUGUUAUCACGGGAGACACACGGCGGGUGCUAACGUCCGUCGUGAAGAGGGAAACAACCCAGACCGCCAGCUAAGGUCCCAAAGUCAUGGUUAAGUGGGAAACGAUGUGGGAAGGCCCAGACAGCCAGGAUGUUGGCUUAGAAGCAGCCAUCAUUUAAAGAAAGCGUAAUAGCUCACUGGUCGAGUCGGCCUGCGCGGAAGAUGUAACGGGGCUAAACCAUGCACCGAAGCUGCGGCAGCGACACUAUGUGUUGUUGGGUAGGGGAGCGUUCUGUAAGCCUGUGAAGGUGGCCUGUGAGGGUUGCUGGAGGUAUCAGAAGUGCGAAUGCUGACAUAAGUAACGAUAAAGCGGGUGAAAAGCCCGCUCGCCGGAAGACCAAGGGUUCCUGUCCAACGUUAAUCGGGGCAGGGUGAGUCGACCCCUAAGGCGAGGCCGAAAGGCGUAGUCGAUGGGAAACAGGUUAAUAUUCCUGUACUUGGUGUUACUGCGAAGGGGGGACGGAGAAGGCUAUGUUGGCCGGGCGACGGUUGUCCCGGUUUAAGCGUGUAGGCUGGUUUUCCAGGCAAAUCCGGAAAACCAAGGCUGAGGCGUGAUGACGAGGCACUACGGUGCUGAAGCGACAAAUGCCCUGCUUCCAGGAAAAGCCUCUAAGCAUCAGGUAACAUCAAAUCGUACCCCAAACCGACACAGGUGGUCAGGUAGAGAAUACCAAGGCGCUUGAGAGAACUCGGGUGAAGGAACUAGGCAAAAUGGUGCCGUAACUUCGGGAGAAGGCACGCUGAUAUGUAGGUGAAGCGACUUGCUCGUGGAGCUGAAAUCAGUCGAAGAUACCAGCUGGCUGCAACUGUUUAUUAAAAACACAGCACUGUGCAAACACGAAAGUGGACGUAUACGGUGUGACGCCUGCCCGGUGCCGGAAGGUUAAUUGAUGGGGUUAGCGGUAACGCGAAGCUCUUGAUCGAAGCCCCGGUAAACGGCGGCCGUAACUAUAACGGUCCUAAGGUAGCGAAAUUCCUUGUCGGGUAAGUUCCGACCUGCACGAAUGGCGUAAUGAUGGCCAGGCUGUCUCCACCCGAGACUCAGUGAAAUUGAACUCGCUGUGAAGAUGCAGUGUACCCGCGGCAAGACGGAAAGACCCCGUGAACCUUUACUAUAGCUUGACACUGAACAUUGAGCCUUGAUGUGUAGGAUAGGUGGGAGGCUUUGAAGUGUGGACGCCAGUCUGCAUGGAGCCGACCUUGAAAUACCACCCUUUAAUGAUU
RNAcentral lists this ribosomal RNA (2176 nucleotides) under human gut metagenome. RNAcentral's name for it is "bacterial LSU rRNA". It matches the Rfam family "Bacterial large subunit ribosomal RNA", at positions 14 to 2215 of the family's 2925-position model. The record is from RNAcentral.